Oncorhynchus keta (chum salmon) is the source of this 965-nucleotide long non-coding RNA. RefSeq lists it as uncharacterized. NCBI's taxonomy places the organism in Eukaryota, Metazoa, Chordata, Actinopteri, Salmoniformes, Salmonidae. The transcript has 6 exons. The record is from RefSeq and is a predicted model, not a curated record.
GGUUGAGGUGGAGAGAGGUGGGUUAAGGUAUGUCUAAACCACUCUCUGAUGCAGGUGCUGCUCAGUGAUGCCAGAUGGGAGGUUUUAUAAUGUGUAAAUUGUCCCUUUUAAUAACUUUGAUCGGUAGAUGGAUCGACAGGAGGUUUAGUAAUAUUUAAUAACUGAUAGGUAGAUGGAGGUUUAGUAAUAUUUAAUAACUGAUAGGUAGAUGGAGGUUUAGUAAUAUUUAAUAACUGAUAGGUAGAUGGAGGUUUAAUAAUAUUUAAUAACUGAUAGGUAGAUGGAGGUUUAGUAAUAUUUAAUAACUGAUAGGUAGAUGGAGGUUUAGUAAUAUUUAAUAACUGAUAGGUAGAUGGCGGUUUAGUAAUAUUUAAUAACUGAUAGGUAGAUGGAGGUUUAGUAAUAUUUAAUAACUGAUAGGUAGAUGGAGGUUUAGUAAUAUUUAAUAACUGAUAGGUAGAUGGAGGUUUAGUAAUAUUUAAUAACUGAUAGGUAGAUGGAGGUUUAGUAAUAUUUAAUAACUGAUAGGUAGAUGGAGGUUUAGUAAUAUUUAAUAACUGAUAGGUAGAUGGAGGUUUAAUAAUAUUUAAUAACUGAUAGGUAGAUGGAGGUUUAGUAAUAUUUAAUAACUGAUAGGUAGAUGGAGGUUUAAUAAUAUUUAAUAACUGAUAGGUAGAUGGAGGUUUAGUAAUAUUUAAUAACUGAUAGGUAGAUGGAGGUUUAGUAAUAUUUAAUAACUUUAAGAGGUAGAGGGAUAGACACGAGGUUUAAUAGCUUUGAUAUUAACUUAACAUUAGUAUUAAGUAGUGGUCAGAUAUUAAAUAAACAUUUCAUAUAACCACGAGGAAGAGUGUGUAGAAAUAUAUCACAUUUACGGACAGAAACGGAAUAUAACUGGAUUAUAUAAUAUCCACAGAAUAAAUUGAUGUGUAUUAAUAAGUAUGUGUGUGUGUGUGUGUGUGGUU